GGUCAGAUAGCCUAGUGCACGGUUAAGGUACCCGAUGCAUGAUUGGAUCUCGUCGCUGGCUCAAUUCCAGCUCUGACCC
Molecule: transfer RNA, 79 nt
Filed under: Endocronartium harknessii PhW48OC
Lineage: Eukaryota; Fungi; Basidiomycota; Pucciniomycetes; Pucciniales; Coleosporiaceae
Description: tRNA-Met (CAT) (tRNA-Met-CAT-6-1)
Source: RNAcentral